Molecule: non-coding RNA, 60 nt
Filed under: Alexandrium minutum
Lineage: Eukaryota; Dinophyceae; Gonyaulacales; Pyrocystaceae
Source: RNAcentral
UCGGGGGGCCGCGGGGGGGGGGCGCGAAGGCGAGCGUGGCCGAUCGGGGUGGCAGGCGGC